UGGGGAAUAUUGCACAAUGGGCGAAAGCCUGAUGCAGCGACGCCGCGUGAGGGAUGACGGCCUUCGGGUUGUAAACCUCUUUCGACAGGGACGAAGCGUAAGUGACGGUACCUGUAGAAGAAGCACCGGCCAACUACGUGCCAGCAGCCGCGGUAAUACGUAGGGUGCGAGCGUUGUCCGGAAUUACUGGGCGUAAAGAGCUUGUAGGCGGUUUGUCGCGUCGUCUGUGAAAACUCACAGCUCAACUGUGAGCUUGCAGGCGAUACGGGCAGACUUGAGUACUGCAGGGGAGACUGGAAUUCCUGGUGUAGCGGUGAAAUGCGCAGAUAUCAGGAGGAACACCGGUGGCGAAGGCGGGUCUCUGGGCAGUAACUGACGCUGAGAAGCGAAAGCGUGGGUAGCGAACAGGAUUAGAUACCCUGGUAGUCCACGCCGUANCGGUGGGUACUAGGUGUGGGUUUCCUUCCACGGGAUCCGUGCCGUAGCUNCGCAUUAAGUACCCCGCCUGGGGAGUACGGCCGCAAGGC
RNAcentral lists this ribosomal RNA (527 nucleotides) under uncultured bacterium. RNAcentral describes it as "bacterial SSU rRNA". It matches the Rfam family "Bacterial small subunit ribosomal RNA", at positions 355 to 894 of the family's 1533-position model. The record is from RNAcentral.